GAUGAACGCUGGCGGCGUGCCUAAUACAUGCAAGUCGAGCGAACGGACGAGAAGCUUGCUUCUCUGAUGUUAGCGGCGGACGGGUGAGUAACACGUGGAUAACCUACCUAUAAGACUGGGAUAACUUCGGGAAACCGGAGCUAAUACCGGAUAAUAUUUUGAACCGCAUGGUUCAAAAGUGAAAGACGGUCUUGCUGUCACUUAUAGAUGGAUCCGCGCUGCAUUAGCUAGUUGGUAAGGUAACGGCUUACCAAGGCAACGAUGCAUAGCCGACCUGAGAGGGUGAUCGGCGGCCUUGGAACGGGGACACGGACCAUGCUCCUGCGAGAGGCAGCAGUCGGGAAUCUGCCGCAAUGGGCGAGAGCCUUACGGAGCAACGCCGCGUGAGUGAUGACGGUCUUCGGAUCGUAAAGCUCUGUUAUUAGGGAAGAACAGAUGUGUAAGUAACUGUGCACAUAUUGACGGUACCUAAUCAGAAAGCAACGGCUAACUACGUG
This 497-nucleotide ribosomal RNA is filed under the name uncultured bacterium. Its description in RNAcentral is "partial 16S ribosomal RNA". It matches the Rfam family "Bacterial small subunit ribosomal RNA", at positions 28 to 507 of the family's 1533-position model. The record is from RNAcentral.